This 253-nucleotide ribosomal RNA is filed under the name uncultured bacterium. RNAcentral describes it as "partial 16S ribosomal RNA". It matches the Rfam family "Bacterial small subunit ribosomal RNA", at positions 524 to 776 of the family's 1533-position model. The record is from RNAcentral.
UACGAAGGGAGCUAGCGUUGUUCGGAAUCACUGGGCGUAAAGCGCACGUAGGCGGAUUUGUCAGUCAGGGGUGAAAUCCCGGGGCUCAACCUCGGAACUGCCUUUGAUACAGCAAGUCUUGAGUUCGAGAGAGGUGGGUGGAAUUCCCAGUGUAGAGGUGAAAUUCGUAGAUAUUAGGAAGAACACCGGUGGCGAAGGCGGCCCACUGGCUCGAUACUGACGCUGAGGUGCGAAAGCGUGGGGAGCAAACAGG